RNAcentral lists this long non-coding RNA (1041 nucleotides) under Olea europaea subsp. europaea. Lineage: Eukaryota; Viridiplantae; Streptophyta; Magnoliopsida; Lamiales; Oleaceae. The record is from RNAcentral.
CUAAACUUGAAAAGUUGCUUACGGCGUGCUAGACAUACAGAAAGCUGAUCUACAGAAGUCUCACAGAAUGAUGUGGUUACUGCCUAAUAAAAAAUGAAAAUAAAAUAACCAAAGGGAAAAGGAAAAGGAAAAGGGAUGAAGGCAGAACAAUUGUAAGCGGCGACUUCAAUGGAAUCUGUAUCUCCUUCUUCAAUCAACGAGAUUUGUUUACUCCUUACAACCAUUCUUUCAUUUAAUUAAACUUCAAAUUUUUCUGUUAAUUUCAAACUAUUUCUUGCUAUUUUAUCAAAGAUCACCAAGCUUGAUGGGAUCUUCUUCCCCGAUAUUUAGCCCAUCUUUAGAUAAGCGAUUUUUGGAGCACCCUGCGCAGUCGGGUCAACUUGCUUCUCCAUAAUCGAAAGCCUAUAGAUCAAUUUGUGCACGUUCAAAUGGUUUGAUAUUUUAUCACUCUUGAAUUGGGUGUUUUUGGACUUUUCUUCCUCCAAUUUGAUGAUGGAUUUUUACAAGUCCUGUGAAAAUUGUGAAGAAUGAUGAGACAAUGCAGCAGCAGAAGAGAUUGAAGGAAGACUCCAUGACCUGAAGCAACUAUCUUCCCAAUAUCAUACUCACUUGGUUAAUCAUUGGCCGGAGAAGACGAACUUGGGCCGAUUUUGUCGAAGUCGGAGAUGUAAACGUUCUCCACCUUCAAAGCCCCUGUUCUUAGUUUUCUUCACAAGUUGACUGGUUUUUUCAAUUGAAAAAUGCACGAGUCGAAUGGGAAAAUCAACUGAGUUCAUCUAUCGGAGAAGAUGAACUUGGACCAGUAAGUUGUCAGAGAAGACGGCGGGAAUUUCAGCUGGAAAUGGGUUGAACUGUUUUGGGAAAAUGGUGAGCAUAAGGUAUAUAAUAAAUCUCUUCCCUCGUGUUUUCUUUUUUUACACUCUCUUCGUGCGUUUUUCCUUUUCUUUUUUGGCCAAGUCACUGUUUUUUUGUAAAUUCUGUAAGGAUUCUGUGAAUAUUUGUCUGUACACCUAGAAUUAUUCUAAAAAUAAAUAAGUUUUA